AUGAAAAUGAGGAAAAAUUUAUUGGAAUUUAUGAUUACAACAUAUGAUAGUACUAAAAAGCGAUUUAUUAUUCGGCCAAAUACAGACUGCAUCAGUGUGCUUAAUGAAGAUGUUUACGACAUAUUCGGGCUACGUAACGAGGGUGAUGAUGUCAGUAGCAUGAUAGCAACAGUACAACUAGAUGCCAAAAAAAUGGUUCCGAAUCGGUUUCUAGACAAAAGAACAGGCCUAAUCCUCAUCGAUGAGUUGAUAAAAAAUAUUGUUGAUACUCAGUCAUAUGAUGAUGAUUUUGUGAGAAGGGUCGUACUGGUUCUUAUGGGUACAGUCUUAGCACCACAAUCCACCAAGUUUGUUCCUUAUCGUUAUUACAAAAUGAUGGAGGACGUGAACGCUAUCAAGUCAUACAAUUGGAACGAUUUUACGUUCAGGGUGUGCAUGGAUGCUAUUAAAAAAUCGGUCGAAGAUCUUGAAAAAUUCAAGUGGCCUAUCGGGAACUUGGCUCUUCUUCAGUAUAUAUACUGGGAAAAAGUUGAGCCAAUUGGUGUGGAUACAUUUGAUCCUUUGUCUCGUGAAUACACACUAAUGGUUAACUGGCCAGAAACGGAAGGGAAAAAGAGAGACGACUAUGACAACAUGCACGGGCGUGGCACCGGCAAUCUUGAAAAUUGCGUUAGCCAAGAGUACAGACGUGCUAAGGUAGCACGUGAAGGGACUGUCCCAGAUGAAGAAACGAAGAAACCUAAACGGAAAGGUGGUGGCAGGAGUAGAAAGCCAAGCACGUCAGGGGUUUCAUCGAACACGACUAACAGUAUGGACCGUGUGAUGACAUACAUAAAGCUGCUUCACAAGGAGAUGGUAAUGGAAAAGUUGAACACGGAAGGUGUGUUGUACAAACCCAAUAAGAGGGACAGUAAUGAUGAAUUUGUUAAUGUACGUCAAGAUGUUGGGAUGGAGAAUGGCCAGUACAAGUCAUCAAAAUAUUGGCCAGAUAUUGAUUCACCUACCGACGUGGAGCUAGUAACAUCUUUCACGUGUUUCAAUGAUACGGACGAGCCCGUUGAUGACACGGGUGCUCCGACGACGACACCGGGUAAAGGUGACGCUACUGAUCCUUUCAUUACACACGAUAAUGAAAAGUCCCCAUGUUCGUCAUCAACUGUAUGUACAAAAGAGUUUCCGUCUAUGUCCCGAACCCCGCAGAAUGUUGAUAUUUCUGAUGAGUCUAUGGGUGGUUUGUCACCAACAAAGUCUGAAGACAUGUCUGAGAGAUUCCCGGCAAAGAGCAACAUAGGUAAUGGUGAAGGCAGUCAGGACAAUGAAGGUAAACGCAAACGAAAUCCGUCGAAAUAUUGUCAAUCCCCGUACGACCUUCUCAUUACCCGCAAGAAAUGUGUUAAAAAAAAUCUGUUUGCAUCGUCACCAUAUUCAAUUCUGGCAAGUACUCUUAAUAUGACUCCGGAUCACAUAGAGGCAGCCAGAGUUUUUGUUGAGACUCUCGCAUCGACAAAGAAGUAUGCACACCGAACCGUGGUCGAUAUGCCGCCACCAGAUGGGGACAUAUGCACGCCAGCUAUGCUUCACGAUGUCCUCAAGUUUAAAUGGUUGAAUGGCGCUGCGUAUUUUCCUAUGCACGUUAAUGAUAAUCAUUGGAUAACCAUAGUGAUGCACACCGUCAAGGAGGAGUUUCAAGUUCUUGACUCAAAUUCUAAAGGCGCAAUUAGCCAAAGAAUUCGCAAUAUGAUUGGCACCCUGAGAGCUGAAAUAUCUAAGGAUAUUAUGGAGGCCAACUCUAUUCUUGAAUCAAAAAAAAUUCCAGAUGUCUCAUCGUGGCCAAUUAAUGAGUAUAAAAUGCCGGCACAACAUGAUGGGUAA
Molecule: ribosomal RNA, 1872 nt
Filed under: Triticum aestivum (bread wheat)
Lineage: Eukaryota; Viridiplantae; Streptophyta; Magnoliopsida; Poales; Poaceae
Description: partial small subunit ribosomal RNA
Source: RNAcentral